This 388-nucleotide ribosomal RNA is filed under the name uncultured eukaryote. RNAcentral's name for it is "SSU rRNA". It matches the Rfam family "Eukaryotic small subunit ribosomal RNA", at positions 567 to 958 of the family's 1831-position model. The record is from RNAcentral.
CCAGCAGCCGCGGUAAUUCCAGCUCCAAUUGCGUAUGUUUAAGUUGUUGCGGUUAAAAAACUCGUAGUUGGAUUUUGGGUGGUGCUUGCCGGUCCGUCUUUCGUGAUGUGCACUAGUGUGGCUCUGCCUUGAUGCUGAGGCCCACGUCCCAGGCUUUACUGUUUGGGGCUGGAAGGCAGCAAUGUUACUUUGAGUAAAAUAGAAUGUUCAAAGCAAGCCUGCGCUCUAAAUACAUUAGCAUGGAAUAACAUGAUAGAACUCUGGCUUAUCUUGUUGGUCUGUGAGACCAGAGUAAUGUUUAAGAGGGACAGUCGGGGAUAUUCGUAUUUCAUUGUCAGAGGUGAAAUUCUUGAAUUUAUGAAAGACAAACUUUUGCGCAAGCAUUUGU